AAUUAAGUAGUUUAUAUUUAUUAAAAUUUUUAUUUGUGGAGUAAAAGAAUUUCUUAAUUA
RNAcentral lists this transfer RNA (60 nucleotides) under Sacculina confragosa. RNAcentral describes it as "tRNA-His". The record is from RNAcentral. Lineage: Eukaryota; Metazoa; Arthropoda; Thecostraca; Sacculinidae.